UGCCAGCCGCCGCGGUAACACGGGGGGCGCAAGCGUUAUUCGGAAUUAUUGGGCGUAAAGGGCGCGCAGGCGGUCUUGUCCGUCAGGUGUGAAAGCCCGGGGCUCAACCUCGGAACGGCAUUCGAAACUGGUUGGCUUGAGGUCGAGAGAGGAAAGUGGAAUACCCAGUGUAGAGGUGAAAUUCGUAGAUAUUGGGUGGAACACCGGUGGCGAAAGCGGCUUUCUGGCUCGAUUCUGACGCUGAGGCGCGAAAGCGUGGGGAGCAAACAGGAUUAGAUA
This 279-nucleotide ribosomal RNA is filed under the name uncultured bacterium. RNAcentral describes it as "partial 16S ribosomal RNA". It matches the Rfam family "Bacterial small subunit ribosomal RNA", at positions 506 to 784 of the family's 1533-position model. The record is from RNAcentral.